Molecule: ribosomal RNA, 501 nt
Filed under: uncultured bacterium
Lineage: Bacteria
Description: partial 16S ribosomal RNA
Rfam family: Bacterial small subunit ribosomal RNA
Source: RNAcentral
AUUGAACGCUGGCGGCAUGCCUUACACAUGCAAGUCGAACGGCAGCACGGGUGCUUGCACCUGGUGGCGAGUGGCGAACGGGUGAGUAAUAUAUCGGAACGUACCUUAUUGUGGGGGAUAACGCAGCGAAAGCUGUGCUAAUACCGCAUAAUCCCUAAGGGGGAAAGCGGGGGACCGUAAGGCCUCGCGCAAUUAGAGCGGCCGAUACCUGAUUAGCUAGUUGGUGAGGUAAAGGCUCACCAAGGCAACGAUCAGUAGCUGGUCUGAGAGGACAGUCAGCCACACUGGGACUAGGACACGGCCCAGACUCCUACGGGAGGCAGCAGUGGGGAAUUUUGGACAAUGGGGGCAACCCUGAUCCAGCAAUGCCGCGUGAGUGAAGAAGGCCUUCGGGUUGUAAAGCUCUUUUGUCAGGGAAGAAACAGCAGCUCUAACACAGUUUGCGAAUGACGGUACCUGAAGAAUAAGCACCGGCUAACUACGUGCCAGCAGCCGCCGUAA